RNAcentral lists this transfer RNA (83 nucleotides) under Echinostoma caproni. It matches the Rfam family "tRNA". Rfam says of the family: Transfer RNA (tRNA) molecules are approximately 80 nucleotides in length. Lineage: Eukaryota; Metazoa; Platyhelminthes; Trematoda; Plagiorchiida; Echinostomatidae. The record is from Rfam by way of RNAcentral.
GUCGUGGUGGCCGAGGUGGUAAAGGCGUUGGGCUCGAAAUUUAAUGGGGUUCCCCUGCGCAUGUUCGAAUCCUGCCUGCGACG